UUGCCUACGGGAGGCAGCAGUGAGGAAUAUUGGUCAAUGGGCGCGAGCCUGAACCAGCCAAGUCGCGUGAGGGAUGAAGGUUCUAUGGAUCGUAAACCUCUUUUAUAAGGGGAAAAAGAGCGGAGAGAGGAAAUGAACUCCGAUUGAUAUUACCCUUCGAGGAAGUCACGGCUAACUACGUGCCAGCAGCCGCGGUAAUACGUAGGUGGCGAGCGUUAUCCGGAAUGAUUGGGCGUAAAGGGUGCGUAGGCGGCCUGCUAAGUCUGGAGUGAAAGGUACCGGCUCAACCGGUACAGGCUCUGGAA
RNAcentral lists this ribosomal RNA (305 nucleotides) under uncultured bacterium. RNAcentral describes it as "bacterial SSU rRNA". It matches the Rfam family "Bacterial small subunit ribosomal RNA", at positions 335 to 631 of the family's 1533-position model. The record is from RNAcentral.